Molecule: ribosomal RNA, 488 nt
Filed under: uncultured bacterium
Lineage: Bacteria
Description: partial 16S ribosomal RNA
Rfam family: Bacterial small subunit ribosomal RNA
Source: RNAcentral
AUUGAACGCUGGCGGCAGGCCUAACACAUGCAAGUCGAACGGUAGCACAGAGAGCUUGCUCUCGGGUGACGAGUGGCGGACGGGUGAGUAAUGUCUGGGAAACUGCCUGAUGGAGGGGGAUAACUACUGGAAACGGUAGCUAAUACCGCAUAACGUCGCAAGACCAAAGAGGGGGACCUUCGGGCCGCUUGCCAUCGGAUGUGCCCAGGUGGGAUUAGCUAGUAGGUGGGGUAACGGCUCACCUAGGCGACGAUCCCUAGCUGGUCUGAGAGGAUGACCAGCCACACUGGAACUGAGACACGGUCCAGACUCCUACGGGAGGCAGCAGUGGGGAAUAUUGCACAAUGGGCGCAAGCCUGAUGCAGCCAUGCCGCGUGUAUGAAGAAGGCCUUCGGGUUGUAAAGUACUUUCAGCGGGGAGGAAGGUGCUGAGGUUAAUAACCUCAGCAAUUGACGUUACCCGCAGAAGAAGCACCGGCUAACUCCGUG